GCUUCAUCCACUGUGCCAGCCAGGUGCCCCAUGGAUCAUAUGGAAAGAAGAUGUCAGGAGACUCAGAAAAGGAGACGCGCCAAUAGAAGCAGACAUUGAGUGACUUAGCCCUGAGCUAAGGAAUGUUGGCCCCCUAAAGAAGAUGGAAAAAGCAAGGAACGGAUUCUCCUCUAAAGCAUCUAGAAGGAAUGUAGGCCUUGAUUUUAGCAUCAUAAUAACCUUUUUGGACUUCUGAGCACCAGAACUAUAAUAUAAUUAAUUAAUUUGUGUUGUUUUAA
Molecule: long non-coding RNA, 278 nt
Organism: Suricata suricatta (meerkat)
Lineage: Eukaryota; Metazoa; Chordata; Mammalia; Carnivora; Herpestidae
Exons: 2
Source: RefSeq, a predicted model, not a curated record